ACUCCUACGGGAGGCAGCAGUGGGGAAUUUUGGACAAUGGGGGGAACCCUGAUCCAGCAAUGCCGCGUGAGUGAAGAAGGCCUUCGGGUUGUAAAGCUCUUUUGUCAGGGAAGAAACACCGGCUCUAACACAGUCCGGGAAUGACGGUACCUGAAGAAUAAGCACCGGCUAACUACGUGCCAGCAGCCGCGGUAAUAC
Molecule: ribosomal RNA, 198 nt
Filed under: uncultured bacterium
Lineage: Bacteria
Description: partial 16S ribosomal RNA
Rfam family: Bacterial small subunit ribosomal RNA
Source: RNAcentral